This 395-nucleotide ribosomal RNA is filed under the name uncultured bacterium. RNAcentral's name for it is "bacterial SSU rRNA". It matches the Rfam family "Bacterial small subunit ribosomal RNA", at positions 28 to 429 of the family's 1533-position model. The record is from RNAcentral.
GACGAACGCUGGCGGCGUGCUUAACACAUGCAAGUCGAACGGAAAGGCCCUUUCGGGGGUACUCGAGUGGCGAACGGGUGAGUAACACGUGGGUGAUCUGCCCUGCACUUCGGGAUAAGCUUGGGAAACUGGGUCUAAUACCGGAUAGGACUACGGACUGCAUGGUCUGUGGUGGAAAGCUUUUGCGGUGUGGGAUGGGCCCGCGGCCUAUCAGCUUGUUGGUGGGGUGAUGGCCUACCAAGGCGACGACGGGUAGCCGGCCUGAGAGGGUGUCCGGCCACACUGGGACUGAGAUACGGCCCAGACUCCUACGGAGGCAGCAGUGGGGAAUAUUGCACAAUGGGCGCAAGCCUGAUGCAGCGACGCCGCGUGGGGAUGACGGCCUCGGUUGUAAC